UGCUACUUUCUGUGCAGAGCUUGUUGGCCUCUUGUCUCUUACAACUACCUUAAAUGAAGGGCCCAUUGACACAUCCGUUUGAAUGAGGUUUUACUCAACCUGUAACAAGUUUUCACCCAGCUCAUAGCAAUAUGAAUGACAGGUCCAGAAUGACAACUAAACUCUGGACCACUUGGAAAAAGACUUGAUGAACUGAAGACAGAGAUGAAUUGACACAAUCCCAUCAGCUGCUAUCUGCUUCAUGACCCAAAUAAGGAUGAUAAUCCUACAUUCCUGGUGCAGGAGAAAGGUUUUCAAGUAGGAAGAUUUCAGAAGGAAAAACACAAAAAGAAACAGCUUCAGUCUCCAGAAUUUUGAAACCUUGCUAGCAAUUGGC
Molecule: long non-coding RNA, 376 nt
Organism: Mauremys mutica (yellowpond turtle)
Lineage: Eukaryota; Metazoa; Chordata; Testudines; Geoemydidae
Exons: 3
Source: RefSeq, a predicted model, not a curated record